This is a non-coding RNA of Drosophila ficusphila, 98 nucleotides long. The record is from Rfam. Lineage: Eukaryota; Metazoa; Arthropoda; Insecta; Diptera; Drosophilidae.
AAAAAAACGAACUGAUGAUAUAUUGAGUAGGAAUCUCAUUGAGCUUCAGUCAUUCGUUGCUUUGAAAUCAAUUUUAAUCUCCCACUGAUUAUAACCUU